UCCUACGGGAGGCAGCAGUGGGGAAUAUUGCACAAUGGGGGAAACCCUGAUGCAGCAAUGCCGCGUGAGUGAGGAAGGCCUUAGGGUUGUAAAGCUCUUUCGCACGCGACGAUGAUGACGGUAGCGUGAGAAGAAGCCCCGGCUAACUUCGUGCCAGCAGCCGCGGUA
This 168-nucleotide ribosomal RNA is filed under the name uncultured Azospirillum sp. Its description in RNAcentral is "partial 16S ribosomal RNA". It matches the Rfam family "Bacterial small subunit ribosomal RNA", at positions 337 to 522 of the family's 1533-position model. The record is from RNAcentral. Lineage: Bacteria; Pseudomonadati; Pseudomonadota; Alphaproteobacteria; Rhodospirillales; Azospirillaceae.